Cinara cedri is the source of this 512-nucleotide non-coding RNA. Lineage: Eukaryota; Metazoa; Arthropoda; Insecta; Hemiptera; Aphididae. The record is from the annotation of a GenBank genome assembly.
ACAAUAAGUUCUCAAUAUACGCAUAUGGUAACGGAUAUAUUAUUAGUUGUCAGGAAAAUUAUUCUAAGGGACUAGAUACAAUAUUUCACUGUUGCCAACAGUUCCUUUUCAAAAUAUAACUAAACCACAACUGCUAAAUGUUUUAAAUUUUCUCUUAGGGCGCUAACUACGUGUUGUGUAGGCAUUAUGUUUGGACGUGGAGGGUAAUGUUUUUUCGAAGUCAGUGUUGCCGUAGGCCGUUAUGGCUACACAAAUUCCCUUAUCGAUUUGUUUAGCAAUUUUUAAAAAAGUAAAUUUAUUGACGAGUAUAAUAGAAUAUUAUAUUAAUACGAUUUUGAUAUUGCUGAUAUUGGUAUCGCUCUUCCUUAAUCCCGAACGCUGCCGGCCACACGUAACCGGUAUACAUUGGUCCUGUCCAUUAUGUAUUAUCUACACGUAGAUAGGUAUAUUAUUAUUAUUAUUAAAACGAUACGUAUUAUACAAUACACACACUGACGACGACGAAAAAAAUC